GCAAGUCGAGCGGUAGAAUGAUUAAAGAAGCUUCGGUGGAAUUAAUUGAUUGAGAGCGGCGAACGGGUGAGUAACACGUUGGUAUCUGCCCCCAAGUCAGGGAUAGCCAUUGGAAACGAUGAUUAAUACCGGAUAGUCUCUUCGGAGUAAAAAUUUAUUGCUUGGGGAGGAACCUGCGGUCUAUCAGCUAGUUGGUGAGGUAAUAGCUCACCAAGGCUAUGACGGAUACCUGGUCUGAGAGGAUGAUC
RNAcentral lists this ribosomal RNA (248 nucleotides) under uncultured bacterium. Its description in RNAcentral is "partial 16S ribosomal RNA". It matches the Rfam family "Bacterial small subunit ribosomal RNA", at positions 57 to 305 of the family's 1533-position model. The record is from RNAcentral.